RNAcentral lists this ribosomal RNA (399 nucleotides) under uncultured bacterium. RNAcentral describes it as "partial 16S ribosomal RNA". It matches the Rfam family "Bacterial small subunit ribosomal RNA", at positions 338 to 734 of the family's 1533-position model. The record is from RNAcentral.
CCUACGGGGUGCAGCAGUGAGGAAUAUUGGUCAAUGGACGAGAGUCUGAACCAGCCAAGUAGCGUGAAGGAUGACUGCCCUAUGGGUUGUAAGCUUCUUUUAUAUGGGAAUAAAAUGUUCCACGUGUGGGUUUUUGUAUGUACCAUAUGAAUAAGGAUCGGCUAACUCCGGGCCAGCCGCCGCGGUAAUACGGAGGGUCCGAGCGUUAUCCGGAUUUAUUGGGUUUAAAGGGAGCGUAGGUGGAUUGUUAAGUCAGUUGUGAAAGUUUGCGGCUCAACCUGAGAAUUGCAGUUGAAACUGGCAGGCUUGAGUACAGUAGAGGUGGGCGGAAUUCGUGGUGUAGCGGUGAAAUGCUUAGAGAUCACGAAGAAUACCGAUUGCGAAGGCAGCUCCCUGGAC